UGGGGAAUAUUGGGCAAUGGGGGAAACCCUGACCCAGCAACGCCGCGUGAAGGAAGAAGGUCUUCGGAUCGUAAACUUCUGUUCUUGGUGAAGAGAAGAAGACGGUAGCCAAGGAGGAAGCCCCGGCUAACUACGUGCCAGCAGCCGCGGUAAUACGUAGGGGGCAAGCGUUGUCCGGAAUGAUUGGGCGUAAAGGGCGCGUAGGCGGCAUGUUAAGUCUGGAGUGAAAGUCCUGCCUUCAAGGUGGGAAUUGCUUUGGAUACUGAUGGGCUUGAGUGCAGGAGAGGUAAGUGGAAUUCCCAGUGUAGCGGUGAAAUGCGUAGAGAUUGGGAGGAACACCAGUGGCGAAGGCGACUUACUGGACUGUAACUGACGCUGAGGCGCGAAAGUGUGGGGAGCAAACAGG
This 406-nucleotide ribosomal RNA is filed under the name uncultured prokaryote. Its description in RNAcentral is "bacterial SSU rRNA". It matches the Rfam family "Bacterial small subunit ribosomal RNA", at positions 355 to 776 of the family's 1533-position model. RNAcentral also lists the same sequence under 1 other name. The record is from RNAcentral.